This is a non-coding RNA of Benincasa hispida (wax gourd), 3575 nucleotides long. NCBI's taxonomy places the organism in Eukaryota, Viridiplantae, Streptophyta, Magnoliopsida, Cucurbitales, Cucurbitaceae. The record is from RefSeq and is a predicted model, not a curated record.
AAAGAACGCUCAAAUCUUAAUUCUCUGAUCUCAAGACCUAAUAAUCCUCUUCAUCACUACUUCUCUUCGGUGCCGCAUCGUACCCACUCCCUUUCCAAAACCCUAGACCUCCUCACACCUUCCUCUACUCCUCCCAUGGCAAGAAAGCGAAAGCUCGACUCUUCCAAAUCUACCGAGCCCGCCGAGCCUCCCAAGAAGCUUCAGCAGCAACCUCAAGCUGCCCUGGACGAGGGCAAACCCCAGAAUGAACCCCUCAAGGAAGUCGUUCCUGAGGAUCUAGCGAAUUACGAUGUGGUCGAGGAAGAAGACGAUGACGACAACGAUGAUGAAAACGAUGAGGAGGAAGAGGAUGAUGACGACGACGAUGAUGAGGAGGAAGAUGAAGGUGAUGCGAAUGUCAAUAACCACCAUCCGACCACCCCCAAGAUUUUAUCUUCCUCGGCCGCUGCUGCAACUGCCGCUGAUGACGACGACGAGCCCAUUCAGAAGCUCUUGGAGCCUUUUAGCAAGGACCAGCUUAUCAAUUUGCUCCGGGAAGCGGCGGAUAAGCACGCGGAUGUCGCUGGGAGGAUUCGAAUGGUUGCUGAUGCGGACCCAUCUCACCGGAAGAUUUUUGUUCAUGGGCUAGGGUGGGAUACUAAUGCUGAAACUUUGAUUAAUGUGUUUAAGCAAUUCGGUGAGAUUGAGGACUGUAAAGCUGUGUGUGAUAAGGUUUCUGGUAAGUCCAAGGGUUACGGUUUCAUCCUCUUUAAGAAGCGUAGUGGGGCGAGAAAAGCAUUGAAGGAACCCCAGAAGAAGAUUGGCAAUAGGAUGACUGCCUGUCAGUUAGCUUCGGUUGGGCCUGUUCCACCGACUAGUGCGGUAGCAGCUCCUCAAGCACCACCUGCUUCGGAAUAUACGCAGAGAAAGAUUUAUGUAAGCAAUGUUGGAGCUGAUGUAGACCCCCAGAAGUUGCUAACUUUCUUUUCCCAGUUUGGUGAAGUUGAGGAAGGACCUUUGGGGCUUGACAAGAUGACGGGUAAGCCUAAAGGUUUCUGUUUAUUUGUGUACAAGUCGCUAGAAAGUGCUAGGAAGGCUUUAGAGGAGCCUCACAAGAACUUUGAAGGCCAUGUCUUGCAUUGUCAGAAGGCCAUCGACGGUCCCAAGCCAGGGAAGGCUCAGCACCAGCAUCAUACACCAAAUGCGCCCUUUCAAAGGAAUAAAAAUCCUAAUUAUGCAGGUGGGGGGGCCUCUGGAUCGGGGCACUUGAUGGCACCUGCAGGGCCUGGUGUUGGUUAUAACCAAGGACCUCCUCAAGCAUUGAACCCAGCUCUUGGUCAGGCUCUGACUGCUUUGCUGGCGGGUCAGGGUGCUGGGUUGGGGCUCACUAAUUUGUUAGGGACACUCGGAUCUGCUGCAGGGCUGAAUCCAGCAGUGCAAGGCGCGGGACCUGGAGUACAAAGUGGGUAUGGGAGUCAAGCAAAUAUAAGCCCUGGGGUGAUGGGAUAUGGUAGUCAAAGCGGUGUGCAGGGUGGAUAUCCAAACCAACAAAUGGGACAGGGUGGAACUGGAAGAGGAGGGCAGCAUGGUGUUGGGCAGUACGGUGGUCCUGGCGGUUAUAUGGGGCACUAGUGCCUCUAUGCGGUUGCCCGGUUGGACAAGGAGCUACUAUUUUGCAGGUUGUCUCCUUCGUAAGGUAUUUUCAUUCUUGCAUUUUGCUUGGAGUUUCUUUUGCAGUGCCAAGGCCCUGAGAAAUUGGAUCAAUUUUAGAUUAAAAAACAUUUCUUAUUGGCAUUUUUAUAUUUAUACUGGGAUGCUAUUAGGGUUUAAAUGUAACUACAUUUAAGGAACUAUAAACAAUAGUACUUUAAUGUUUUCAAUUUAAUAAGUUACAAGGUUACCUUUAGGUCUGUUAGACGACUUAGAUUGUUAGUUAAUCCAAUUGGUUUCUUAAGGUCAAUAAUAUUUUCUUUAUAACUUAUAAUAGUAUGUCAUUAAUCAUGUAAAAAUGAUUCCACUAAGACCUUGCUUAUCUUUUCUUCUUUUCUUUUCUUGUUUCUUCUUCUCAUGAAGCUGGCCUGCACCAUUCAAAUGCUUGUUCUAUAUGUAAGCAUCUUUAUACCUUCAAUCCUGUGUAGACAUAGAUAGUUGCCCAAUAUUUUAAUAGGGUACUUCUUUUUGUUAAAUUUUAAUUUGUGUUCUUUGAUUUUCUGAAUGAACUUCAAUUUGAAGGUAUAUGUGCUGUAUUAGAUAUAAAUAGCCUUUUGCCUUUUUUCUAUCACGCUAUGUUUUAUAAAUUGUGAUGGUGGGGCAGGACUGGUGCAGUUUGGUCUGAGCAAUUGUUAAUAUUUGUUUGAUUAUCUUGGAAUUGACUGUGCUUGUAGGCAGUUCAAUGUCUUGGGGGCUUGCAAUUUUCUAUAAAAUUAGUCAGAAAAGUUCAUAGGUACCAAGAAAAAAAUGGGGUUCUUGAUAGUGCCUUGUCUUCAUUUCCUUGAAUUGAUCUGUUCUUAACCACUUUAAAACUCACAAUUCAUAUGUUACAUUAACUAGUUUCUUGCACCAUUUAGUUUCUGAUUUAGUGUCACUGUUUUGGAUCCGUGGAUUGCUCCAAUUGUAGAAAUGUCAGAAGAGCAUGAUUGUCUUGCAUAUUAGCUAUACACCUCAUUCGAGUCACUUUUGAAGUUUGAAUGUAUUUCUUGUACUAAUAUUUUCUGAUAUCUUGCCUCUUAGCUGUUUCAGCAUUUGCUGAUGCAUAGAUAUUCCUUGAGAACCUCACCCCCGAAGUUCACAUCAUAUAAAUAGGGGAUAAUGAACUAAGAGAUCUCAUAAUUUCCCAAAUUUGAAUCAUAUUGCCUCACUCCAUCCAUGGUACAUUAUCGUGUCGUUUGGUCUGUGAGGGCUCUUGACAAUUCAAAGGAAUACUUACUCAAAGGCGGGGCGUUUGGGAAUUGAAGGUUGAUUGCUUGCAGACGUACAUGCACAAGUCGCUUAGAAGAACGUGGUGGUUGUUCGAACAUUUGAAUCGUAUAAGCAAAAGAUUUGAACCGAGUGCAAAAUGGGUGGUAAUUCGAGACUGCAGAAAAUUUCCUAAUGGUCAGUGGGUGGGUUGGUAGUUACUCGAAAUGUAUAUAGUUAUCUAAAUAGUGGAGAUGGGAGAGUGUGAGAAGUUAUCUAGAUAGUGGGUCUUUACAUGAGAACAUGAAUAGUUACUCAAGAUUAGUCAUCAAAAGUAGUGGAGAGUGGGUUUUUCCUACGCAAGCUAAUGUAAGGUAUUUGGGAGUACCUUGGUCAUGGGAUAUAGAGAGUCUUGUGAGAAUUGGUAAGGUCUUGGUGAGAGUUGUCACUGAACAAUUGUGAGGGCUAGUCUUCCUUGGGGAGAUAGCCAUGUCCAACUUGUGAAUUAAGUACCUUUUGAGAAGGGAUGGAGUGGUCAUACCAUGGAGUUAAGUUGUAAUCCAUCAAGGAAGCGUCUUAACGUCUUAAUCGAGGGGGAUUAAUGCCAUUUAUGUAGAGCUGGGAAUUUCAUGUUGUUCGUGGCAUACACCAUUAGGUUCGAUUUAAAUUUUAAAAUUGUAAUUCUUUUUGUGAUGGCUAUU